RNAcentral lists this long non-coding RNA (775 nucleotides) under Trifolium pratense (red clover). Its description in RNAcentral is "long non-coding RNA (TPRA_LNC007982)". Lineage: Eukaryota; Viridiplantae; Streptophyta; Magnoliopsida; Fabales; Fabaceae. The record is from RNAcentral.
AGAGAUUAGAACCUUAAUAAACUGGAAUUGAAAACAAUGUCACCGGAACAAGCUUGAAUGCUAAAUUGAAUGAAAAACAGAAAAGUAAAAUAUUUUCUAUCUGCUCUUAAAUUCUAAUAAUGAAGCGUUCCAAAUAAACUAACUAAAGCCAUCUAUUUAUAGGCUGAGAAAAUAUUUUUCUGUUAAUCCCUUGAUGUGUUUGCGUGCUAUUCUGAAGGAGGAGAUAAGCUUUGAUCGUGCCGCCCGUUACGAUAGUAGUGCGAUCUCCACAUGUUAAUCAUUUGCUAAUAAAUAGCACUUGGCGGCCAACAUGAUCUUUAUGGUACACGUCAUAUAUUGUUUGAUAAGUGUCUAAUCUAAUAAAACACGUGUGGUCACCAUGAUCUUUAUCCAUGCCAUAUAUUGGUGAAUUGGGCUGCUACAUUGUGACUUUUGUGGCCCAAUUGGGACUUGUUUGUUUUGGCCUUCACCUCCCUUUUUGNNNNNNNNNNNNNNNNNNNNNNNNNNNNNNNNNNUAAAUAGUGCAUUUUUCGGUGUUAUCAAACUCCCCUAAACUUGAACCAUUGCUUGUCCUCAAGCAAUUUAGCUUGCAUAUAGAAAACAUUUAAAAUACUAAGCAAUUCAUAAAUGUAGACUUAGAAAAACGAUACCACAAAUACUCAUAUGUGGUCAGAAAUUCAAAUCAGCUAAGAAUAAUUAAUUAGGUGCUUAUUCAAUCAAGAAGGGUAUUUCAACGACACACAAAGUUCUCCCUCUUAAACAUACCGAAUUCGGA